UGGCUCAGUUGGUAGAGCAUGACGUUUGCAAUGCCAGGGUUGUGGGUUUGAUUCCCAC
Non-coding RNA from Salmo salar (Atlantic salmon), 58 nucleotides. The record is from Rfam. NCBI's taxonomy places the organism in Eukaryota, Metazoa, Chordata, Actinopteri, Salmoniformes, Salmonidae.